Molecule: ribosomal RNA, 377 nt
Filed under: uncultured bacterium
Lineage: Bacteria
Description: bacterial SSU rRNA
Rfam family: Bacterial small subunit ribosomal RNA
Source: RNAcentral
AGACGGAGGGUGCAAGCGUUGUUCGGAAUCACUGGGCGUAAAGCGCGUGUAGGCGGUUCGAUAAGUCGAAUGUGAAAGCCCGAGGCUCAACCUCGGAAGUGCAUUCGAAACUGUCGGGCUUGAGUACGGGAGAGGGAAGUGGAAUUCCUGGUGUAGAGGUGAAAUUCGUAGACAUCAGGAGGAACACCGGUGGCGAAGGCGGCUUCCUGGACCGAUACUGACGCUGAGACGCGAAAGCGUGGGGAGCAAACAGGAUUAGAUACCCUGGUAGUCCACGCCGUAAACGGUGAGCACUAGGUGUAGCGGGUAUUGACCCCUGCUGUGCCGCAGCUAACGCAUUAAGUGCUCCGCCUGGGGAGUACGGUCGCAAGAUUAAA